UACGGAGGGUGCAAGCGUUGUUCGGAAUCAUUGGGCGUAAAGGGCGCGUAGGCGGGUCGUUAAGUCCGACGUGAAAUCCCUCGGCUCAACUGAGGAAGUGCAUCGGAUACUGGCGGUCUUGAGUCCUGGAGAGGGUAGCGGAAUUCCCAGUGUAGAGGUGAAAUUCGUAGAUAUUGGGAGGAACACCGGUGGCGAAGGCGGCUACCUGGACAGUGACUGACGCUGAGGCGCGAAAGCAUGGGUAGCAAACAGGAUUAGAAACCCCAGUAGUCC
RNAcentral lists this ribosomal RNA (273 nucleotides) under uncultured bacterium. RNAcentral's name for it is "partial 16S ribosomal RNA". It matches the Rfam family "Bacterial small subunit ribosomal RNA", at positions 524 to 796 of the family's 1533-position model. The record is from RNAcentral.